Molecule: non-coding RNA, 1745 nt
Organism: Beta vulgaris subsp. vulgaris (sugar beet)
Lineage: Eukaryota; Viridiplantae; Streptophyta; Magnoliopsida; Caryophyllales; Amaranthaceae
Source: Rfam
UACCUAGUUGAUCCUGCCAGUAGUCAUAUGCUUGUCUCAAAGAUUAAGCCAUGCAUAUGGCUCAUUAAAUCAGUAUAGUUUGUUUGAUGGUACCUGCUACUCGGAUAACCGUAGUAAUUCUAGAGAUAAUACGUGCAACAAACCCCAACUUUUGGAAGGGACACAUUUAUUAGAUAAAAUGUCAACGCGGGUUGUGCCCGUUGCUUUGAUGAUUCAUGAUACUCGACGGAUCACACGGCCUUUGCGCCGGCGACGCAUCAUUCAAAUUUCUUCCCUAUCAACAUCAUUCGAUGGUAGGAUAGUGUCCUACCAUGGUGGGGACGGGUGACGGGAAUUAGGGUUAGUUUUCGGAGAAGGAGCCUGAGAAACUGCUACCACAUCCAAGGAAGGCAGAAGGCGCGUAAAAUUACCCAAUCCUGACACGAGGAUGUAGUGACAAUAAAUAACAAUAUCGGGCUCUUUGAGUCUGGUAAUUGGAAUGAGUACAAUCUAAAUCCCUUAACGAGGAUCCAUUGGAGGGAAAGUCUAUUGCCAGCAGCUGCGGUAAUUCCAGCUCCAAUAGCGUAUAUUUUAGUUGUUGCAGUUAAAAAGCUCGUAGUUGGAUAUUGUGGGGGUACGACCGGUCCGCCUUGCGGUGUGCACCGUUCGUCUCGCCUCUUUCGUCGGCGAUGCGCUCCUAGCCUUAAUUAGUCGGGUCGUGCCUCCGGCACUGUUACUUUGAAGAAAUUAGAGUGCUCAAAGCAAGCCUACGUCUGUAUACAUUAGCAUGGGAUAACAUCAUAGGAUUCCAGUCCUAUUAUGUUGGACUUCGAGAUCGGAGUAAUGAUUAACAGGGAAAGUCGGGGGUAUUCGUAUUUCAUAGUCAGAGGUGAAAUUCUUGGAUUUGUGAAAGAUGAACAAUUGUGAAAGCAUUUACCAAGGAUGUUUUCAUUAAUCAAGAACGAAAGUUGGGGGCUCGAAGAUGAUCAGAUACCGUCCUAGUCUCAACCAUAAAUGAUGCCGAUCAGGGAUCAACGGAUUUAUGAGAAAUCAAAGUUUUUUGGUUCUGGGGGGAGUAUGGUCACAAGGAUGAAACUUAAAGGAAUUGACGGAAGGGCACCACCAGGAGUGGAGCCUGCGGCUUAAUUUGACUCAACACGGGGAAAAUUACCAGGUCCGAACAUAGUAAAGAUUGAUAGACUAAGAGCUUUUUCUUGAUUCUAUGGGUGGUGGUGCAUGGUCGUUCUUGGUUAAUGGAGCGAUUUGUCUGGUUAAUUCCGUUAAUGAACGAGACCUCAACCUGCUAACUAGCUAUGCGGAGGUAGUCCUUCGUAGAUAGCUUCUUAGAGGGGCUAUGGCCUUCUAGGUCACGGAAUUUUGAGGCAAUAACAAGUUUGUGAUGCCCUUAGAUGUCCAGGGCCGCUUGCACACUACACGGAUGUAUUUAACGAGUCUAUAGCCUUGACCGACGGGUUCCGGUAAUCUUUGAAAUUUCAUCGUGAUGGGGAUAAAUCAUUUCAAUUGUUUGUCUUCAACGAGGAAUUCCUAGUAAGCGCGAGUCAUCAGCUCACAUUGACUACGUCCCUACCCUUUGUACACACCGCCCGUCGCUCCUACUGAUUGAAUGUCCGAUGAAGUGUUCGGAUCGCGGCGACGUGGGCGGUUCGCCGCCAGCGACAUCGCGAGAAGUUCACUAAACCUUAUCAUUUAGAGGAAGGAGAAGCCGUAACAAGGUUUCUGUAGGUGAACUUGCGGAAGGAUCAUUG